Molecule: microRNA precursor, 74 nt
Filed under: Loxodonta africana (African savanna elephant)
Lineage: Eukaryota; Metazoa; Chordata; Mammalia; Proboscidea; Elephantidae
Description: miRNA (ENSLAFG00000033130.1)
Source: RNAcentral
GGCUCUUGUUAAAAUGCAACAUCCCAUCCAGUAGGUCUGGGAUGGGCCCAAGAUUCUGCAUUUCUAACAAGCUC